Molecule: ribosomal RNA, 459 nt
Filed under: Parvimonas micra
Lineage: Bacteria; Bacillati; Bacillota; Tissierellia; Tissierellales; Peptoniphilaceae
Description: bacterial SSU rRNA
Rfam family: Bacterial small subunit ribosomal RNA
Source: RNAcentral
GACGAACGCUGGCGGCGUGCUUAACACAUGCAAGUCGAACGUGAUUUUUGUGGAAAUUCUUUCGGGAAUGGAAAUGAAAUGAAAGUGGCGAACGGGUGAGUAACACGUGAGCAACCUACCUUACACAGGGGGAUAGCCGUUGGAAACGACGAUUAAUACCGCAUGAGACCACAGAAUCGCAUGAUAUAGGGGUCAAAGAUUAUCGGUGUAAGAAGGGCUCGCGUCUGAUUAGCUAGUUGGAAGGGUAAAGGCCUACCAAGGCGACGAUCAGUAGCCGGUCUGAGAGGAUGAACGUCCACAUUGGAACUGAGACACGGUCCAAACUCCUACGGGAGGCAGCAGUGGGGAAUAUUGCACAAUGGGGGGAACCCUGAUGCAGCGACGCCGCGUGAGCGAAGAAGGUUUUCGAAUCGUAAAGCUCUGUCCUAUGAGAAGAUAAUGACGGUAUCAUAGGAGAAG